GUUCCUGUACUGCAAUGGAAAGCGCUUUGGAUUUCUAAUCCAAAAGUCGUGGGUUCGAAUCCCACCUGGAAUG
Trichonephila inaurata madagascariensis is the source of this 73-nucleotide non-coding RNA. The record is from the annotation of a GenBank genome assembly. Lineage: Eukaryota; Metazoa; Arthropoda; Arachnida; Araneae; Nephilidae.